GAAAGGAGAAGAGUUGUUCUCUUUUGCUGGCAUGAAUAUGAUAUUAGGAAGUCAAUCACCGGUUUCAAAAAGGCAAAGAAAAACGAUGCAGCAUAUAAAGAAGAAAUGGGAGCACACAUCGACACAAAGAAAAUUGGUUUAAAGGACAUCCUUAUUCAAAACUGUGGUGAGCCACCUAAACACAGCAUUUGCUAAAGAAGGUGGACAAGCAAUUUGUCAAUAAGACAAUGACAUAAAUAGAUGACAUAAUUGUACAGUGGACAAAAAGUCCGCAGAGGUUCAAAUGGCCGGUUUUGAAGAUGAUACCACACCACAAGAGGAAAAAUUUGACUCUGACUAACUACACUAGUGAAAAAAGAACGAUAUUUAACAUCUGUAAAACUAUUAUUAUCCCGCUAUCCUAAAAUGGGACAUUUAUCAAUGUAUUCUGACAAC
Long non-coding RNA from Halichondria panicea, 435 nucleotides. RefSeq lists it as uncharacterized. The transcript is spliced from 3 exons. Lineage: Eukaryota; Metazoa; Porifera; Demospongiae; Suberitida; Halichondriidae. The record is from RefSeq and is a predicted model, not a curated record.